GCGGGGCUUGAGCGGCCCGGCGCGGGGCGCGCGCGGCCUGCCCUCUGGAGGCGGGAGGAGGCCGCGGCCUGCCGGAGCGAUGCAGUGGUGUCGCAGUGCUCAGUUGUCUUCAUAUGUCAUCGUGGUCUGUACUGGUGAGGUGAAAGCCAAAUGCCCUCUCUGUAGGAAUGAGCUUCAAGUAGACAGCUUGGUCGAAUGGUCCCCUGGAAGAGGAAGUAGACUCCAGUAAUGGAAAGAAGCCUGAUCAGGAGUGGAUAUCUAGCUCAAAGGAUUCCUAGAGAGACAGGAGCAUCUUAUCAAGACAUGCAUCGGAGGGCAGACUUCCUGCAGGCUUCCAGACCUGAAAAUGAAACCGACUCUGCUGACAACUUCAGGUAAAAAACGGGGAACAAAAGAAAAAAGGGGAAAAAAAAGACCCCACAAAAACAAAACAAAAAAACUCCACAAAAACACAAAAAACCCACAAAACCCCACAAAAAAGCCCAAAACCAACCAACCAAAAAAAUUAAAAGAAAAAAAAACCGAAAAAACCCGAACCAAACAAAAACAAAAAACGGAAGAAAGAAAUGACAGGUACGUGGAAAGCCG
Long non-coding RNA from Passer domesticus (house sparrow), 588 nucleotides. RefSeq lists it as uncharacterized. The transcript has 3 exons. NCBI's taxonomy places the organism in Eukaryota, Metazoa, Chordata, Aves, Passeriformes, Passeridae. The record is from RefSeq and is a predicted model, not a curated record.